UUAGGUUUCAGAUUGUCUCAGCUUUUGACAUGCCUUCUUCACUAAGCUUAAUCAUUUCUAGCUUUUGAUUUGAAGUAAGGGAAGUGCAGCUCUUCCUUUCACU
This is a long non-coding RNA of Sapajus apella (tufted capuchin), 103 nucleotides long. RefSeq lists it as uncharacterized. The transcript is spliced from 3 exons. Lineage: Eukaryota; Metazoa; Chordata; Mammalia; Primates; Cebidae. The record is from RefSeq and is a predicted model, not a curated record.